UGAGCUCCUUCCUGUUCUCCGCCAUAGGCGAACUUCGGACUCCAUCGACGCACACUUUCAGCGUCACGACUCCUCAUCUUCCAUACAACACCAGUGAGUUCUGACAAAUGGAAAACCGCCACUUGCCAACGGAGGCGACGAUCAGAAGCAGUUCGUCUUCCGGAAACAGAGUCCCUAGCAAACUGACGGCAACGGAGACCAGCCAGCGGAGGCGACGGACUACCACCGCCGAACGGAGCCAUGGAAACUGGUGACGUUGCUUCGGGUGAGCGAUUCUCUCCUGAGGUUCUGGGCUUCAUGGAGCUUGCUAUGUAUAGAUCAGGUGAUGCCUGGCACAUCUGAAUUUAUGAAGUUGAUGUAAUAUGUGAGCUGGAUUUCGAAUUCGAUUCAGUUGGUGCUACAGUUGCGCGGGAACUUGAAGGAUGUGUCGUUGAAUUUGUUGGAGAGACACUGAAUCCGUGUUUCUUCUUAGGUUUUGUCUGUGGAUGCUUGGUAGGGAAUUCAUUGGUAAUCGACCUUAGACGCUGCAAAAUCAAUGACAAUAUCUAGAAGGUAUAGCAUUUCUUCAGAGAGAGAGAGAAAGAGAGAGAGAUUUGGGGGUGGAUUUGUUGUUGUUCUGAAGUGAUACCCGCACAUUAUCCACUCCUAGCAAUUGUUGAUCUUUUUUAUGUUUCUGGCUUAGAUAUAAUUUUU
Rhodamnia argentea is the source of this 693-nucleotide long non-coding RNA. RefSeq lists it as uncharacterized. The record is from RefSeq and is a predicted model, not a curated record. Lineage: Eukaryota; Viridiplantae; Streptophyta; Magnoliopsida; Myrtales; Myrtaceae. The transcript is spliced from 3 exons.